Molecule: long non-coding RNA, 207 nt
Filed under: Lathyrus oleraceus (garden pea)
Lineage: Eukaryota; Viridiplantae; Streptophyta; Magnoliopsida; Fabales; Fabaceae
Description: Pisum sativum (pea) long non-coding RNA (PSAT_LNC034919)
Source: RNAcentral
AAAGUUCUGUUACAGCUAGGAAGUUGAAAAGUUGGAAAUAAGCUGUAAAAUACAGCAGUUUGAAGCAACUCUUCAAAAGACUUUACCAAAAGCUUCUUGAAAUUCCCAAGCGCCCAAUUCCAAUCCCUAAUUACAGCGCCCCAAAUCCAAAAGCAGACCACUUUUCAAUCAAUGUCCAUUUACUUUUUGCAAACCUGCAAAACCAAU